UGGAUGGAUGGAUGGAUGGAUGGAUGCAUAGGCAGGAGAGAGGGUGAACAGAUGGCUGAGGGCAAACAGAUCAUGUGAACACCCAUGCUAAAGGAUGGCUGGAUGGUGGGAGCACUAUAGUAUGGUGAUGGCUCAUUGGCUGGUACAUGUCGACAUCCCUUUAGGGUCUGAAAAGUAGUGUCACCAUGGUUAGAAGUUUAAAAGUAGAAUUCCUUCAAACAAGUCAGUAACUAAUGUCACCAAAUAGCACAUGGAGACCCUGAAGCCCAGAGAAAUGGCUUAACCAAGCUUGUAGGGUCAGGUAGUCACUGUGGUGAGUCCUGAACCUAGUCCCAAAUUCCUUCCCACAUAUCCUCCUGAGAUGUGGGACCUAACUGGGCCUGGACUGACUGAUUCCUGAAGGCGAGAGCCCUGUUCGUGCCCUCAGGCCAGGUCUAGCAUCUCCAUGUGUUGUGACCACUAACUGGCCUGAAGCCAUGGCUGCCUUUCUCCCGGCCACAGCCAUUUCCUGAGCACCUAUUGUGUCCCUGAUGCAGGAUAGACCAUGACAGAUCAGAGUUGGAGUCUUGUGGUUCCUCACUUUAGGGGACCCCCUCAUGUGUGUUUAUAUAGCAUGAGGCUAGAAUGGACGCCACUCAAGACUGUUGGGCUGGGAGUCAUUGCUUCCGGAGUUUGCCUCCGCGUCUCCAGCCUUGUCCGUUUCCUGUCUCUGUGUUCCACAAGUCAACACUGGUAUAGUGGUUCCGGCAGCAUCUGUAGGUGGAUGCAGGCAUGGUGGGAAUCUCAGAGGAUGGCCUCCUGAAGAGCCUGUCUUGACUCGGCACAGGGGUGUUGCUAGGCUGUGUCUAAAGGCUGGGCCAGGGAGCCUGGGAGAUGUUUAACUUUGAAAAAUAGACCUUCACAGCUCAUUAGGUCCCAGCCUCUCGGCCCGGUGCCUCGGGCAGCUCGGGAAUGGGAGACGGCAGGGCAUGAAAUCGCUGAGGUAUUUAAAGGCCGAUUCUGCAUUCUCCACCAGUGGUGUCUGGUCCGCCAGGCCCCUGGCAGGGCUGUUGUGUCGUGCAGAGUGGGGCAGGGUGGCUGAUGGAAUUUCUGGGUUGCUGUGUGUGUGAGUGACCUCACUGACCCAGGUGAGACACUCCUAAGUCUUGACCUCUGACAAGUCAGUUCUUGAUUCUGAGCCUUGGUUUCCCCAUGUCCACUAAUGCCUGUGCUUUUUUUUUUUUUUUUUAAAGUCACGUUAGCCCAGGCUACCCCAAACUCCCUAAAUACCUCAGGAUAGUCUUGAACUCCUUACGUCCCUUCCUUUGCCUUCUGAGUGCUAGAUGACCGGCGUUAUUAUUAUACUGGGUUUAUAUGGUGCUAGGAAUGGAACCCAGGGCUUCAUGCUUGCUGGGCAAGCACUCUACCAGCUGAGCCCCCAUCGCCUCCCUACCCUCAGAAAUGGAAACUAGUUUUGAGCUUGCCCCUAAGGGACUCUGCAGCUUCUCAAGGGUAUUGUGUUUUAGGCCUGUUCCUGCCCCUUGAUGCAGGGGACCCCAGGAUUUGAAUAGCAUCAGCCAGCACUCCUGCUAGAUUUCCAGGCUCUCAGCAUGGUGAGGGCUGCAAGCCCAGGCUGGGCUGCCGGGAGGUUUGAGGUUUCCCUCAGUCUUGGAUGUUCAUUCAUUGUCCAUCCUAGGGCCAGGAGGAGGGACUGUGCUGGGAGGAGGAGGCUCAUUUGCAUGGAGGCUCAAAGAGACAGCCAAGAAAAAUCAGACCUAAUCAUUAGAGGUGGCUGUGGCCACCGGGCUCUAAAUUGCAUUAGGAGGCUUCUGGUCUUCAUUGAAUGUAUCGGAUGCAAAGGCAGAAGCAGGAAGAGCUGGGCGGGUGACCUGCCUGCCUGCCUGCCCACCCCCUCGGCUGCUGCUUCUGGCUGGAAGCUGGGUGGGGAGGCUCUAGAGCCCUCCCCCAAUGCCUGCUUCUCAAUCCCCACCAGCUCCUGUAAGAUUUUCUCAGGGCUCUGUGACCUUGGACCAGUUACUUUCCUUCUCUGGGCUUGUUUCCUUAAUUAGAAGCUAGAAAGGCUGGUUUCCUGAGUGCCAAGUUCAAGGAAGUAGAAGCCUAGGAGGGGGUCUGAGACGCUUCAGGCGGCUUCCUUUGGCUCUGUAGGGAAGAGGAAAGAUGCUUGUGAGGGCCUGUGUGGCCCCUUUGUCUGCACCAUGAGCUUCAGUUUUACCCUGAACCUCAGUUUUGUUGUCUAGGCAAUGGGUAUAGCUCAGUUGGUAUAGUGCCUAGCACAGCAUUAACACAGCAUGGUAGCACGUCAUCCCAGCACUCGGGAUGCAGAGGAACUCAGGAGGUCACCAUGGAUCCUCCUUGAGGGGUUACAGAGCACCCAGGAAAUGAUCUAGAAGCAGACUCUCUUCUGGGGGUUCUGGCUUGGAGCAGGUGUGGUUUUCUCUUCCUUGUGGGGUCCCAGAAGCCCCUGGGAUGUGGAUGCCCAGGUUUGGAGCUAGAUAUGGCUGGAAGGUUUUUUUUUUCAGAACCCAGGAGAGCCUGGCUCUGUAGAAAUGUGUCCCGGGGAGGCUCCAGGGAGGCCUGUAUCCUCCAUCUGGGCAGAUGCUUCUGUGGUGGGUGACGAAGGCUGGUAGGGCCCCAGUGGUAUGUGCCAGCCUGCACGUGUGUGCCAGGGAAGCUUUGCGUGCACAUGUGUGUGCUAACAGACUCUGUGCAGUGUGUACAUAUCUGUGGUCACCCCGUGGGGCCACUACCCUAUAUGACCACGGAGAGUCAAAUAUCCCCGGACAUGUGCUUUUCCACUCCCGUGUGCUCACAUGCAGCUGUGUGCACCCCGCGCUUGCUCCCCCCUGCUCGUCCCCAUGGCAACCCCAGCAGUGUGUCCUGGUGAGACAUAGAGCAGGUGUCGGGAGAUCUCUGUUGGUGCUGGGGAGUCAAAAAGGGAGGGGCUCCCCAGAAUGGGCAGGGCGUCUGAGGUUCUUGGGCAGAGGCUUUGGAUUUAGGAGAAUCUUCUGGAAGCCCCUCCAUCUGUGAUUCCUACAGGAUGAGUCACAGGCCCAUCUGGUCAGGAUUUAGUAUUGUGUGGUCCUUGGCGACAGAUUAGCAGCAUGUUAGGGGGGCUCGUCCCCAUUUUCUGGGAAGGUAAACUGAGUUUUGAAGCUGGUGACACAGUGGAUCCUCGGGCAGCCCAUGACAUGGGUCCUUACUUACUCUCCCUCUCUCACUUCCGUGGAGAGAGAGGAAGGGGCAUGCCCUCCCUCCCCCCGCUCCUGUUCCAAGAAUGGGUGGAGUGGGUGGAGCCCUUGCCUUAAAUCCCAGCUACCCAGUGGUUCAAUGCGUCUUUUGCCAUUUGGCUGAUUGUGGGAGAGCUCUGUCUUGAGACCUAUGGCUCAGGCCCUCCCCACCCGCAUGUGAAGUCAUCCAGCUCGGGCUGGCAGGGUUCCCAUGGCAACAGCAGUGACGUCACAAAGGCUGGAGGAGGACAGCUGGAGGGAGGUGUGGGGUGAGGCCGAGGAGGGGAUUCCUGCCUUCUCUCAUGCUCUGACCACUUGUUACCAAGCAGGCAUGGGGAAUAAGUCCUGGAUGUUCCCCCACACCCCUCAGAGGUGGAAGGAGUUAGGGACAUCCUCCUGUCCAGGUGCCAAGUCCCUUUGGGAGUGAGGAGGUGGGCGUGAGCCUCAGAGGCAUAGAUGUCACGGUCACCUGGCCUGAGUAACUAGCUGCUCUUGCCAAAGUUGGAGUGACAGCCUUCAAGGGCCUAUGACUGUACAGGUCACCACCAGCUGUCCCCGUGGGGGCCUGGGAUCUGUACCUGAGUUUUUUCCUCAUUUUUAUUAUGUGCGUGUGAGUGUGUGUGUGUGUGCACGCACAUGUUUGCACCUGGGCACAUAGCGUGGUGUCCCUGUGGAGACCACAGGUCAACUCCCAGGAGUCUGUUCUCAGUUCUCUCCUUCCAACACACUGGGUCCUGAGAUCAAACUCAGGCUUGGUGGCAAGGGCUUUUACCUGCCGAGCCUUCUCUCCGGCUGCGCUCUCACCUUUAAGACAGGGUCCCUUGUAGGCCAGGCUUCAGCUGAGGAGAACCUUAAACUUUUGAUCCUUCCCUUUUCCUCCCAAGUGCUGGGACUGCGGUACGUGCCAACGCACUGGGUUUAUGCAGUGCUAGGCACGGAAUGGGCUUCAUGCGUGCCUGGCAAGCACUCUGCCACUGAGCCACAUCCUCAGCCUGCACUGGAGUCUCUUGGUCUCUCUUUUAACUUGACUCGGUUGACUGCUCUGUCAAGCUCUACAUCCAGACAUCCAUGAUAGUAGCACUGGGACCACUGGGCGCCCCCUGCUGGGCAGGGACAUACCAGCUUUCUGCUCUGGUGGAGUUGAGCCCAGGCUAGAGCUAUAGAAAGGCACAGGCCUGCAGCCCCUUCUCAUCAGGUCUUGACCACUGUCGCUCCGUGUAAUAGCUCCAGAUGUGGUCCUGGGAAAAGCUGAGAGCCCAGUGGACUCAUGAGAGGUCUCAGGUUUGGCUUUCGGGCUGCAAGCCUGGUGCUGUCAGCAUCCCACAGUGCUCACGAAGCAUUGGUUCCCGCAGCUGACUGAGUGCCUCAAUCUUGCUUCCAUGGCUGUCGUCUCCAAGCCAGAAGAGGGGCCAACCUCUCCCUGGGCUGCACCCUUCAUGAUCAGAUUCCCAGGAGGAAAUGACAUCAUCCUUCCUGGAACCUCCUUGGUACAGUCAUCAGUAUCCUCUGCUGUGAACACGUGUGGGCAUCUCUCAGCAUCCUGCAGCCACUUGAAAAGCGCCCUCAGAGGGAGACUGCCUCAAGCUUCCAGGAGCAAAUUAGCACCAUUGGCUUCCUGGCGGGUGAGGACCUGCCACUGGAGCUGUGAGAAAGUGAGGAGGUGGGGUGAGGGGUCCCCGGCAUUACUACCACGCUGCAAGCUUCCAACAACACACAGAGCAUUUGUGUCUUCUCGGGCCACAGAACACCGAAAAGCACAGCUCUGGCAUUGAAAUCCCAACACUUGGAUGGCUGAGGCGGGAGGAUCAACGAGUGCCAAGCCAGCCUGGGCUCCAGAGUGAGACCUCGUCUUAAAAGGAUAAAAUAUUACAAAUUAGAAUGACGAUUUUCUUUAGCCUAGCCUUUAAAGUUUUAUCAGUAUAAGUCCAUCAUAAUGCAAAUCUUUAAUCCCAGCACUAGGGGUGCACAGACAGGUGGAGCUCUGUGAACCUGAGACAUCCUGGUCUAUGUCGCAAGUUCCAGGACAGCCAGGGCUAUGUAGUAAGACCCUGUCUCAAAACGGAAAAAAGAGGGGGUUGGGGAUUUAGCUCAGUGGUAGAGCGCUUGCCUAGGAAGCGCAAGGCCCUGGGUUCGGUCCCCAGCUGGGGGGGGGCAAAAAAACCCCCAAAACUGGAUAUUAGUAUAUUUUGUUUGGUUUGGGUGUAUGCACAUUCCUGUGGACAUUUGUGGGUAUGUGUGUGAACAUGUGUGGAAGCCAGAGGUUGACUUCAAGUGUGCCCCUUACCCUGUCCACCUGUGUCUUGAGAUAGAGUCUCUUACGGGCCUUGAACUCACCAAGCAGGUUGGGUAAGUCUGAGUUCCAUACAUGCUGGAAAUCACAGCAUGUCAUUUUUUUCCCCCUGAAUUCAAAUUUUGAGUCAGGAUUCCCUGUGAAGAUCCAUGAUUAGUAUCCCUUAGCCUUCACUGCAGAAGAAGAGUCCAUCGUCACAGCCGGUGGGGGCUGUGCAGUUUGACGGUAAGGAUUCCUUUUGUUAAGAUACACAUCACACAUUAAAGGUUUGUCAAAGGCUUACACGGGCAGGAGAUAUAUUACAUUCAAGACUCUUGCAAUCCAUUUGACUCUAAAGACAAGAUUUGUCGCCAUUCAAGUGUCCCGUGUCCGCGCAGUUCAUGUCAAACUCGCCAUUUAAAGUUUGUCAAAGGCUUGCAGGGCAAGAGUUACAUUACAUGCAAGAGAGACAUAAAUGCAACGUCAUGCCAGAGUGGUCCCCCAGGCAGUGGACCUCAGAAACCUGUAAGUGCUCCAAGUGCUCCCCACACCGUCCUCCCACUGUCAGACAAGCAGCUAGAAGCUUGCCCAGCUGGUGGGCGUGUCAUGGUGAUUGACCAAAUAUCCAUCCUGCUCUCCCUGAUGUAACCCUGGAACUGAUGACCAGGGGCCGGGCUUAUGACCACCUGUAUUUUCUUGUCUGUGAAAUGAAUGUCUUUUACAGAUAUCUGUCCAUUUUCUAGCUGAGCUCUCUUGAUCAGUUUGCUAGAUUUCUUUCUGGAUUCUGAAAGAAUAUUCACCUCAGAUGACAGAGAGAACAGUGACAAUGACUUCCUAACAUACCGUGUAGACUGUGUUUUGUUCAUUUUGACUUUUCAUUUAGGAGGAUUUGAUAGCCUAAGCUGGCCAUGAAAAGCAUGAUCCUUCUGUCUCAGUUUCUCCAUUCUGAGAACACAAGCCUGUGCCACCACGGUUAGCACAGGACUUAUUAACUUAAUUAUUUAUGCACUGGUAAUUGAGUGACACCCCAGCCCCUCCCUGGGGGAUUCUAGGCAGGGGCUCUACCACUGAGCCACGCCCCCAGCCCCUCACUGGGGGAUUCUAGGCAGGGGCUCUACCACUGAGCCACGCCCCCAGCCCCUCACUGGGGGAAUUCUAGGCAGGGGCUCUACCACUGAGCCACACCCCAGCCCCUCACUGGGGGAUUCUAGGCAGGGGCUCUACCACUGAGCCACACCCCCAGCCCCUCACUGGGGGAUUCUAGGCAGGGGCUCUACCACUGAGCCACGCCCCCAGCCCCUCACUGGGGGAUUCUAGGCAGGGGCUCUCCCACUGAGCCACGCCCCCAGCCCCUCACUGGGGGAUUCUAGGCAGGGGCUCUCCCACUGAGCCACGCCCCCAGCCCCUCACUGGGGGAUUCUAGGCAGGGGCUCUACCACUGAGCCACACCCCAGCCCCUCACUGGGAGAUUCUAGUCAGGGGCUCUACCAUUGAGACACAAAUUUUCACUUUUUAUUUUGAGACAGGAUUUCACUAUUGGCCCAGGUUACCCCUGUGUUCACUCUGUAGCCCAAGCAGUCCCUGAAGCUCUGACUCUUCUGCAUCUGUCUCUCAAAUCUAGGCUUACAGGUCUGUUCUCUAGACUCAGCAUGUGGUAUAUUUUUAAGAGCAGAAAUUCCUCAUUUUUGAGCAAUGAUAUUUAUUAGUUUAUAAUUGUGUGGGUGGAAAGGAAUUCUCCUCUGUCACCACAUUAUUAGUGUAUUUUCAAACAUGUUAACUUAAUAUAUAAAAUAGAUCACCGUAUCAUAUGGUGCACAGUUUUCUUUCCAUGCAUUUUAUGGUUCAGAGACUCAUCUACCUAGGACUUACCUUCAGUUUUGAAUGACUGACUUUAUUAAUGGACAAAGUAGAAGAAUGCAAAGUAAACAGUAGAUAAUGAGUGGAUGGAGAGAGAGACAGAGAGAUAGAGAGACAGAGAUAAAGAGGUGAGAGACAGAGAAACAGAGAGACAGACACCAAAACAGAGAGGCACAGAGAGACAGACAGAGACACACAGGCAGAGAGACACAAAAUAGACACAUAGACACACAGACAGAAAGAGAGACACAGAGACAGACACAGUGACAGAGAGACAGACAGACAGAAACACAGACAGACAGAGAGACACGAAAUAGACACACAGAGACACAGAGACAGAGAGACACAGAGACAGAAAGACAGACACAAAGAUAAACACAGAGACAGAUACACAGAGACAGACACAGUGACAGAGAUGCAGACAGACACAGAGAGACAGACAGAGAGACACACAGACAGAAACAAAAUAGACACACAGAGACAGAGAGACACAGAGACAGACACAGUGACAGAGACACAGAGACAGAGAAGCAGAGAAACAGAGACAAAGAGACAUACAGAAAAACACACAGACAGACACACAGAGGGACAGAGAAACAGACAAACAUGUGGGCACACACACACACACGCAGAGAGAGAGAGAGAGAGAGAGAGAGAGAGAGAGAGAGAGAGAGAGAGAGAGUCAAACCAAGGGAGGUAGAAACACAGCUGGAGAAGUUGAGGCAGCCAGCUGGAACCAUAACUGAGCUUCCCUUCCAUGGUUGAGCUUCUGGUUUCUCUUCCCCACCUCACAAGGUAAACAGUGACCUCUGGAAAUAGUCCACCAUCCGGCUGUUUUCAAGGACAUGCUGUUCUUUCUCUCAGGCCGUCUUGCCAUUUUCUUCCCUGCCAGUCACAGAGCUAGGGGGCCAUCCCACCCUCAUGCAGACUGUGGAGAACACUGGGAAACAAACAUGGGUCAAUUUGAAAUGGUGUGGAUGGACCCGUCUCAGAGCUUGCUUGCCAGUGAACUCAAAGAGCACACGGCAUUCACCAGUACAAUGGACCAUGUAAGUCUAGGCUCAGCCUGGAUGGGUUAGACGUGUGAUGGAGCAAGGGGACUCAAGUUCAAAGUUCAAAACAGUGUUUUGCAUUUAGAUGCCUGGUUGGUGGAGGGCCCGCUGCCUUUUUCUGUUGGUUUGUUCUACGUCAUCCAAAGGUAGAUGACAGGUGCAUCUCUACGUGCUUCGUCUGCUCUGUGGGUGCGUGGGGACAGUAGCCUGAACUCGUGUUGAUUCUAUGCGGUGCCAGUUGCCCAAGCUCUACAACUGGAUAUCCAUACAGAUCCCACUGAACCUGUUCUCCCAGUUUUGAGCGAUUCUCGCGCGUGCACAUCUUCAAAGCUUGUCAAGAUCUACAAAGAGAAUCUCAUUGAACCUGUAGAUCUAUCUGGAAGAGAUCAAUUAAAAAAAUACAUAUUC
Rattus norvegicus (Norway rat) is the source of this 8813-nucleotide non-coding RNA. Lineage: Eukaryota; Metazoa; Chordata; Mammalia; Rodentia; Muridae. The record is from RefSeq and is a predicted model, not a curated record.